Molecule: ribosomal RNA, 253 nt
Filed under: uncultured bacterium
Lineage: Bacteria
Description: partial 16S ribosomal RNA
Rfam family: Bacterial small subunit ribosomal RNA
Source: RNAcentral
GACAGAGGUCCCGAGCGUUAGGCGGAAUCACUGGGCUUAAAGCGUGUGUAGGCGGAUCGUUAAGUGCCUCGUGAAAUCCCAUGGCUUAACCAUGGAACUGCUGGGCAUACUGGCGAUCUUGAGCCACUUAGGGGUUACCGGAACAAAUGGUGGAGCGGUGAAAUGCGUAGAUAUCAUUUGGAACGCCAAUGGUGAAAACAGGUAGCUGGGAGUGUGCUGACGCUGAGACACGAAAGCCAGGGGAGCGAACGGG